Molecule: long non-coding RNA, 1091 nt
Filed under: Bos taurus (domestic cattle)
Lineage: Eukaryota; Metazoa; Chordata; Mammalia; Artiodactyla; Bovidae
Description: long non-coding RNA NONBTAT002872
Source: RNAcentral
CAUGGUAUGUUUGAUGGGAUGACUGAAACAGGAAAACUGUUAAAAUCUUGAAGUGGAAUGAGAAUGUUGUUUUCAAAGAAAAUAACAAAACAACAAAAAGUAAACCUUAAAAUGUGAAGAAAGUGUGAGUUUUAGUUUUGUCACAGUUAACUGUGUCAAGGAGAAUAAAAAAAAAAAAAACUCUUCUCAGAUUUUGUUUACAUAUUUUACUACAUUUUUGCUGGUAUAGUUCCUUAGCCACCUGUGUACAUACUGCUUUGAGAACUGUUCUUUCCUUUGUUUAUUUCCGUUUGUUUGAUUUCUGUUCUAGUUGUCUUUCUUUCUGAAAAGAGGAAACAAUGUACAGUAAAACAAUAAACUGGUUCUGUGGCCAUACCUAACCCGAAAGCAAGAGACGAAGCAAGACAAGUAUUUACAUGAAAAUGAAAUGUGUCCUCUGGAGGGUCAGAUAUAUACAGUUUCUUUUGUACAGAUGAAAAUCAAUCAGCUGUUUAGAUUUAGUAAUCUACUCUUGCUGGUCUUUGUAAGUUGCAUGAAUAUUUGACUUUGAGAAAAUAUCUUAAAGAUGUGGGGCAAAAAAUGCAAUCUCAAUGAUGGUAGCCUUUACUAAUGUGUAUGGAAAGAGGUGUUCCUCAUUACCUGAUAUUUCAAUGUGUUAAGAGUUUUGGAUUAUUUUAUUAUCAUUGGAAAAGACAGGAUUAUAAAGAGGUAUCAGAGCACGAUUUUAGAUAACUUAAAUGGCCCAACCUAUAUGAAGUUGAUUAUAUCUCGAUGUCUGUAAAAGAUUGCUGUUCUUGGAGUCUUGAGGUCUUGUGAACUGAUUUCCUGCUUUCUUUCUUUGCAUUUUUUUAUUUGAGUAAAAAUACAUUUGUUAUAUUCCUUUUAGUGUAAGUUUCUAUUUGGACAAUUUUAUGGGAACAUGUGCAUUCUGUAUGUUAGCUUCUAUCAUAUUCCUGUUGUUUUAUGAGCAAACUCUUAAGAAAUUUAUUUUAUGAUGUUGUGAAGUUACUGCUUUUUUUUCCCUUUUCUCUUUUAUUUCAUAUUUGCAUUUUUGUUCAAGGAUAUGCUUAGCAAUAAAAUGUUCUUCCCAA